CUACGGGGUGCUGCAGUGAGGAAUAUUGCACAAUGGGGGGAACCCUGAUGCAGCAACGCCGCGUGGAGGAUGACGCAUUUCGGUGUGUAAACUCCUUUUAUAUGUCAAGAAAAUGACGGUAGCAUAUGAAUAAGCACCGGCUAACUCCGUGCCAGCAGCCGCGGUAAUACGGAGGGUGCAAGCGUUACUCGGAGAUCACUGGGCGUAAAGGACGCGUAGGCGGGUUGGAAAGUCAGGUGUGAAAUCCUACAGCUUAACUGUAGAACUGCACUUGAAACUUCUAAUCUAGAGUAUGGGAGGGGAGAUGGAAUUAGUGGUGUAGGGGUAAAAUCCGUAGAUAUCACUAGGAAUACCUAAAGCGAAGGCGAUCUCCUGGAACAUUACUGACGCUAAGGCGUGAAAGCGUGGGGAGCAAACAGGAUUAGAUACCCGCGUAGUC
This 439-nucleotide ribosomal RNA is filed under the name uncultured bacterium. RNAcentral's name for it is "partial 16S ribosomal RNA". It matches the Rfam family "Bacterial small subunit ribosomal RNA", at positions 339 to 795 of the family's 1533-position model. The record is from RNAcentral.